GAUUAAGUUAUUAAGGGCGCACGGUGGAUGCCUUGGCACUAGAAGCCGACGAAGGACGUUACUAACGACGAUAUGCUUUGGGUAGCUGUAAGUAAGCGUUGAUCCAGAGAUUUCCGAAUGGGGGAACCCAGCACGAGUUAUGUCGUGUUAUCGACAAGUGAAUUCAUAGCUUGUCAGAAGGCAGACCCGGAGAACUGAAACAUCUUAGUACCCGGAGGAAGAGAAAGAAAAAUCGAUUCCCUGAGUAGCGGCGAGCGAAACGGGAAGAGCCCAAACCAAUAAGCUUGCUUAUUGGGGUUGUAGGACACUCUAUACGGAGUUACAAAGGAAUAUAUUAGACGAAUCAUCUGGAAAGUUGAAUCAAAGAAGGUAAUAAUCCUGUAGUUGAAAAUAUAUUCUCUCUUGAGUGGAUCCUGAGUACGACGGAGCACGUGAAAUUCCGUCGGAAUCUGGGAGGACCAUCUCCUAAGGCUAAAUACUCUCUAGUGACCGAUAGUGAACCAGUACCGUGAGGGAAAGGUGAAAAGUACCCCGGAAGGGGAGUGAAAGAGAACUUGAAACCGUGUGCUUACAAGUAGUCAGAGCCCGUUAAUGGGUGAUGGCGUGCCUUUUGUAGAAUGAACCGGCGAGUUACGAUCUGAUGCAAGGUUAAGCAGGAGAUGUGGAGCCGUAGCGAAAGCGAGUCUGAAUAGGGCGUUGAGUAUUUGGUCGUAGACCCGAAACCAGGUGAUCUACCCAUGGUCAGGUUGAAGUUCAGGUAACACUGAAUGGAGGACCGAACCGACUUACGUUGAAAAGUGAGCGGAUGAACUGUGGGUAGCGGAGAAAUUCCAAUCGAACUUGGAGAUAGCUGGUUCUCUCCGAAAUAGCUUUAGGGCUAGCCUCAAGUGAUGAUUAUUGGAGGUAGAGCACUGUUUGGACGAGGGGCCCCUCUCGGGUUACCGAAUUCAGACAAACUCCGAAUGCCAAUUAAUUUAACUUGGGAGUCAGAACAUGGGUGAUAAGGUCCGUGUUCGAAAGGGAAACAGCCCAGACCACCAGCUAAGGUCCCAAAAUAUAUGUUAAGUGGAAAAGGAUGUGGCGUUGCCCAGACAACUAGGAUGUUGGCUUAGAAGCAGCCAUCAUUUAAAGAGUGCGUAAUAGCUCACUAGUCGAGUGACACUGCGCCGAAAAUGUACCGGGGCUAAACAUAUUACCGAAGCUGUGGAUUGUCCGUAGGACAAUGGUAGGAGAGCGUUCUAAGGGCGUUGAAGCAUGAUCGCAAGGACAUGUGGAGCGCUUAGAAGUGAGAAUGCCGGUGUGAGUAGCGAAAGACGGGUGAGAAUCCCGUCCACCGAUUGACUAAGGUUUCCAGAGGAAGGCUCGUCCGCUCUGGGUUAGUCGGGUCCUAAGCUGAGGCCGACAGGCGUAGGCGAUGGAUAACAGGUUGAUAUUCCUGUACCACCUAGCAUCGUUUUAAUCGAUGGGGGGACGCAGUAGGAUAGGCGAAGCGUACGAUUGGAUUGUACGUC
RNAcentral lists this ribosomal RNA (1511 nucleotides) under Staphylococcus haemolyticus. Its description in RNAcentral is "partial 23S ribosomal RNA". It matches the Rfam family "Bacterial large subunit ribosomal RNA", at positions 1 to 1512 of the family's 2925-position model. The record is from RNAcentral. Lineage: Bacteria; Bacillati; Bacillota; Bacilli; Caryophanales; Staphylococcaceae.